RNAcentral lists this ribosomal RNA (440 nucleotides) under uncultured bacterium. Its description in RNAcentral is "partial 16S ribosomal RNA". It matches the Rfam family "Bacterial small subunit ribosomal RNA", at positions 338 to 795 of the family's 1533-position model. The record is from RNAcentral.
CCUACGGGUGGCUGCAGUGGGGAAUAUUGCACAAUGGGGGAAACCCUGAUGCAGCGACGCCGCGUGAGUGAAGAAGUAUUUCGGUACGUAAAGCUCUAUCAGCAGGGAAGAAAAUGACGGUACCUGACUAAGAAGCCCCGGCUAACUACGUGCCAGCAGCCGCGGUAAUACGUAGGGGGCAAGCGUUAUCCGGAUUUACUGGGUGUAAAGGGAGCGUAGACGGCAGCGCAAGUCUGAAGUGAAAUCCCAUGGCUUAACCAUGGAACUGCUUUGGAAACUGGCAAACUGGAGUGUGUGAGAGGAUAGUGGAAUUCCAGGUGUAGGAGUGAAAUCCGUAGAUAUCUGGAGGAACAUCAGUGGCGAAGGCGACUAUCUGGCACAUAACUGACGCUGAGGAGCGAAAGCGUGGGUAGCAAACAGGAUUAGAUACCCCGGUAGUC